UGAAAACUCACCAUGUAAAUGAGUGAUCAGAAAUACAUACUAUUCUUGUAAAAUGGCUCAAAAUACCUGAUUACCUGUCAGUGUUAACAUCUUUUAAAAUAGUAGUCAUGGCCUACACAAGAUGCCUAGGUGUUUAUCUAUGUCAUGUGUGGAUAGCACCCAGAUAAAUCUCAGGAAAAAUGUAUAUGAAAUGGUCAGUGUGUUAGCGAUUAUUGAUAUGGAGUGUUCACCUGAAUGGUGAGCAUGAACAGAAGCAUGCUUGUGCCAACAAAGAAGAAAGAAGCUCACCUGGAUGUAGCUCAGCUGGCAAGUCCUGAAUAUGAAUAUCCAUGGAGCACUUAGCAAGAGUUAAAUUAGAUUUGGUUCCAAAACAAACCAUAUGCACCAAGGAUAGUGAGCAACUCCGUGCCAAGUACUUUGAUGUGAUUGAGAAGACUCAGAUUGGAAGGUCUGAGACUUAAUAAUAAUGCAUUUGCUCCCUACUGAAGUCUCUCUUACAUCUGUUGGGGGAAAAGCUGCCUCACGGCUCUUGCUUGAGAUGUUAAAGCAAAACUUCACCAGAUACAGCCAGUUUAUAGAAUCUUCAGAAAAAGAGUGGAAGAAGCUGUUUGUUUGA
RNAcentral lists this long non-coding RNA (616 nucleotides) under Vulpes vulpes (red fox). RNAcentral describes it as "lncRNA (ENSVVUG00000020868.1)". The record is from RNAcentral. Lineage: Eukaryota; Metazoa; Chordata; Mammalia; Carnivora; Canidae.